ACAGGGUUCUCUUGACGGGAUUAAUAGGGAAGACGGUGUGAAUCCGUCACAGCCCCCGCUGCCGUAUUUGAGUAUGUGUGCAAAGAAAUGCCACUGGUGAAAAACCGGGAAGGUUUUGUGCACAGAUGAUCCAUGAGCCGGAAGACCUGCCCUGUGAUGU
This 160-nucleotide non-coding RNA is filed under the name uncultured Eubacterium sp. Lineage: Bacteria; Bacillati; Bacillota; Clostridia; Eubacteriales; Eubacteriaceae. The record is from RNAcentral.